GGGGGCGUCCUGGUUUCGACUGAACAUUAGAGGCGUUGGCAGCAUGUAGAGGUUAAUCGGUUGGCCUCUUUAAAAAGCCGAUUAAACAAAUAAAUGCAUAUUCCAAAAACGAAUACGCCCUGGCUGCGUAAAUUACGCGCCGGAGUCUUGUCUUAAUGCCUAUUAAAGACGAGCCUCUAAAUUAAAUAGGCAGGUGCAGCACGGGGUGACCGCGUGCUGCAUGACAUCCACAGGUCACUAGCCAGGUGAGAUGCAGACAUAGCGCGGAUCACCAGCGAAAUACCUAAGCUACGUCUGAACAUGGAGAAGCUUAUGCUAAAGGUGUUCAGGACAGGGGUUCGACUCCCCUCGCCUCCAC
This 358-nucleotide transfer-messenger RNA is filed under the name uncultured Akkermansia sp. It matches the Rfam family "transfer-messenger RNA". From Rfam's summary of the family: Bacterial tmRNA, also known as 10Sa RNA or SsrA, is named for its dual tRNA and mRNA-like properties. Lineage: Bacteria; Pseudomonadati; Verrucomicrobiota; Verrucomicrobiia; Verrucomicrobiales; Akkermansiaceae. The record is from RNAcentral.